RNAcentral lists this long non-coding RNA (1607 nucleotides) under Chinchilla lanigera (long-tailed chinchilla). RNAcentral's name for it is "lncRNA (ENSCLAG00000022857.1)". Lineage: Eukaryota; Metazoa; Chordata; Mammalia; Rodentia; Chinchillidae. The record is from RNAcentral.
GCGGGGUCGGGGCGGGGCGUCCGCCCGCACUCACACUCCGGGGUCCCGGAGGGUAUUUAAGGCUCACACGCCACAGAGCCAUAGACGCUUCGGGUAGCCUCGGUCCUUUCCUUCGCUCCAGGGCCAUCCUCGUUCUCCCCCGUGCCCUUGGCCACCCUUCGUGGGCUGCGCUCUCGCGGACCUGCAUCCAGGUGGGACACAGGUCGCGCGUGGGCAGAUCUCGGCCAGCAGAGAUAAGCGAAGUAAGCGAAGCAACAGGUCCGGGUGUCCCGGCUCCGCCAGGUAGGCGGCGCGCAGGUGUCCCUUCGUCCGGCCGCCGCGGGAUGCUCCUCGCGCGCGGGUCCCCACGCUGAGCCCGCGUCCGUCCACCGCCGCGCCUGCAGCCGCAGGAACAAACUGAACUUCUCAGGAAUCGUCCUCGCGCUUCUCCUGAGAUCCCCGCGGGACGCCGAGGGGGAAGGUGCAGCCCAGCCCGCCGCCCCCGCCGCGAUGCUGCCGAAGAAGCCCGCAGGGAAGGGCGCGGCGCGGGAGCCGGGGUCCGCAGAGCCCCCCGGCCCGCCCUGCACCCGCACCGCGCCCCCAUGCGCGGCCCUCUCCUCCCUCCUGUCCGUGGCCGCGCUGGCUUCGUGUCUGUACCUCGGGGUGAAAACCUGCGACCUCCAGGCGAGGGUUGCUGCGCUGGAAUCCGCCAAAGGCGCCCCCUCCAUCCAUCUGCUGCCUGACACCCUGGAUCAGCUGAAGGCCGUGGUGCAGGAGAAAGUGGAGCGCCUUCUGGCUCAGAAAUCCUAUGAACACAUGGCUAAAAUAAGAAUCGCGAGAGAAGCACCUUCGGAGUGUAACUGCCCAGCAGGUAAAAUGGAACUUAUUAACGAGGUCUCUUCCAUAGAAGUGCAUUUGAAAUCAAUAGUCGUGUGUCUGACAAGUCUACCUGUAAUAGCAGUAAAGAAAGAAUGCAGACCCAACUUGCUUUAAUAAAAUCAACAUGUCUCAGUUAAAGGGAUGCAAAUAAAGUCCCAGAUAUUAUUGUAAGCAGCAUACCAAGGUCUGGUAGGGAAAGCAAGAGAUGGAGAGAAUUACCAUGGAAAAUAUGGGCAAGAUGAUGUACAAAGACAAAGGGCUUAGAUUCACAGAUUGAGAAGUAUUCUUCAGCUUUAUGAAAUUAAUGUCUGGUGAAAAGGACUGUAGAACUGUUAGAUUCUGAAUUCCCUAGUGGGUAAGUUGCACUAGCGCAUGUUUCUGUUUAUUCUUUGGUGAGGAUUAUGUUAGAAAACACCUGCACUGCUUUACUUUCUCCCCCACUCUAUCAAGAAAAUUCUUUCUCCUAUUCCAUAGUGAAAGGUGAAGACCAAGAGGACAUUAGUUCUUUAUCUUGAGCUUUGUAUUACAAAACUAUCCUUAAUGAUUUCUCAGAAAAGGCUCUUAUAUUUUUACCAUUUGUUUUUUCUGUGUGGUUUCAGGGGAACUAUAUUAAUGAUAGCAUAACAGAAGGAUGGAGAAGAGAAACCUCAGUGAAUCACAUCUCCCUCCCCCAUAAUUGAUAAAUCUUCAUUCACAGAUCUCUGAGGCUUGGUGGUCACCUCUAGAUGGAUUCUGUGAUAUAAGCCAUA